UACGGAGGGUGCAAGCGUUAUCCGGAUUCACUGGGUUUAAAGGGAGCGCAGGCGGGCUGGUAAGUCAGUGGUGAAAUACCUGAGCUUAACUUGGAAACUGCCAUUGAUACUAUUGAUCUUGAAUUUUGUUGAGGUAGGCGGAAUAAGUCAUGUAGCGGUGAAAUGCAUAGAUAUGACUUAGAACACCAAUUGCGAAGGCAGCUUGCUAAACAAAUAUUGACGCUGAGGCACGAAAGCGUGGGGAUCAAACAGG
This 253-nucleotide ribosomal RNA is filed under the name uncultured bacterium. RNAcentral describes it as "partial 16S ribosomal RNA". It matches the Rfam family "Bacterial small subunit ribosomal RNA", at positions 524 to 776 of the family's 1533-position model. The record is from RNAcentral.